RNAcentral lists this ribosomal RNA (1078 nucleotides) under Agaricus semotus. RNAcentral describes it as "eukaryotic LSU rRNA". It matches the Rfam family "Eukaryotic large subunit ribosomal RNA", at positions 69 to 1137 of the family's 3401-position model. Lineage: Eukaryota; Fungi; Basidiomycota; Agaricomycetes; Agaricales; Agaricaceae. The record is from RNAcentral.
CAAGGAUUCCCCUAGUAACUGCGAGUGAAGCGGGAAAAGCUCAAAUUUAAAAUCUGGCAGUCUCUGGCUGUCCGAGUUGUAAUCUAGAGAAGUAAUGCCCGUGCUGGACCGUGUAUAAGUCUCCUGGGAUGGGGCGUCAUAGAGGGUGAGAAUCCCGUCUUUGACACGGACUACCAGUGCAUUGUGGUAUGCUCUCAAAGAGUCGAGUUGUUUGGGAAUGCAGCUCAAAAUGGGUGGUAAAUUCCAUCUAAAGCUAAAUAUUGGCGAGAGACCGAUAGCGAACAAGUACCGUGAGGGAAAGAUGAAAAGAACUUUGGAAAGAGAGUUAAAAAGUACGUGAAAUUGCUGAAAGGGAAACGCUUGAAGUCAGUCGCGUUGGCCGGGAAUCAGCCUUGCUUCUGCACGGUGUACUUUCUGGUUGACGGGUCAGCAUCAAUUUUGACCGCUGGAAAAAGGCCUGGGGAAUGUGGCAGCUUCGGCUGUGUUAUAGCCCCUAGUCGCAUACAGUGGUUGGGAUUGAGGAACUCAGCACGCCGCAAGGCCGGGUUUCGACCACGUUCGUGCUUAGGAUGCUGGCAUAAUGGCUUUAAGCGACCCGUCUUGAAACACGGACCAAGGAGUCUAACAUGCCUGCGAGUAUUUGGGUGGAAAACCCAAGUGCGUAAUGAAAGUGAAAGUUGAGAUCCCUGUCGCGGGGAGCAUCGACGCCCGGACCAGAACUUUUGGGACGGAUCCGCGGUGGAGCAUGUAUGUUGGGACCCGAAAGAUGGUGAACUAUGCCUGAAUAGGGUGAAGCCAGAGGAAACUCUGGUGGAGGCUCGUAGCGAUUCUGACGUGCAAAUCGAUCGUCAAAUUUGGGUAUAGGGGCGAAAGACUAAUCGAACCAUCUAGUAGCUGGUUCCUGCCGAAGUUUCCCUCAGGAUAGCAGAAACUCAUAUCAGAUUUAUGUGGUAAAGCGAAUGAUUAGAGGCCUUGGGGUUGAAACAACCUUAACCUAUUCUCAAACUUUAAAUAUGUAAGAACGAGCCGUUUCUUGAUUGAACCGCUCGGCGAUUGAGAGUUUCUAGUGGGCCAUUUU